RNAcentral lists this ribosomal RNA (502 nucleotides) under uncultured bacterium. RNAcentral's name for it is "bacterial SSU rRNA". It matches the Rfam family "Bacterial small subunit ribosomal RNA", at positions 29 to 507 of the family's 1533-position model. The record is from RNAcentral.
AAUGAACGCUGGCGGCGUGCUUAACACAUGCAAGUCGUGCGAGAAAGUCGACUUCGGUCGAUGAGUAGAGCGGCGAACGGGUGAGUAACACGUGGGUAACCUGCCUGGAAGUGGGGGAUAACCUGGGGAAACUCGGGCUAACACCGCAUACGCUCGCCGUGCUUCGGCACGGUGAGGAAAGCUGGCCAAUGCGUGCAAGCUAGCGCUUUCAGAGGGGCCCGCGGCCGAUUAGCUUGUUGGUGGGGUAACGGCCCACCAAGGCGACGAUUGGUAGCCGGCCUGAGAGGGCGAUCGGCCACACUGGGACUGAGACACGGCCCAGACUCCUACGGGAGGCAGCAGUGGGGAAUAUUGGACAAUGGGCGAAAGCCUGAUCCAGCAACGCCGCGUGGAGGACGAAGGCCUUCGGGUCGUAAACUCCUGUCAGGUGGGAAGAAAUGUCAACGGCUAAUAUCCGUUGAUGCUGACGGUACCACCAGAGGAAGCCCCGGCUAACUCCGUG